GAGGCAGUCGUCUAGUGGUAGGAUAGGGCCCUUAUGAAGAGUUCUGAAAUUAUCGCUCCCGGUCAAUUAUAACUUACUGCUCAUUGUGCCAGGGCGCUGACGCCGGUUCGAUUCCGGCCUGCUUCU
This 126-nucleotide transfer RNA is filed under the name Chitinophaga agrisoli. Its description in RNAcentral is "Chitinophaga sp. BN140078 tRNA-OTHER". It matches the Rfam family "tRNA". From Rfam's summary of the family: Transfer RNA (tRNA) molecules are approximately 80 nucleotides in length. Their secondary structure includes four short double-helical elements and three loops (D, anti-codon, and T loops). The record is from RNAcentral. Lineage: Bacteria; Pseudomonadati; Bacteroidota; Chitinophagia; Chitinophagales; Chitinophagaceae.